This 329-nucleotide unclassified non-coding RNA is filed under the name soil metagenome. Its description in RNAcentral is "partial contains 5.8S ribosomal RNA, internal transcribed spacer 2, and large subunit ribosomal RNA". The stretch from base 1 to 120 matches the Rfam family "5.8S ribosomal RNA", at positions 35 to 154 of the family's 154-position model. The record is from RNAcentral.
GAUGAAGAACGUAUUGAAAUGCGAUAAGUAGUGUGAAUUGCAGAAUUCAGUGAAUCAUCGAAUCUUUGAACGCACAUUGCGCCCCUUGGUAUCCCGAGGGGCAUGCCUGUUCGAGCGUCAUUUCACCACUCAAGCCUGGCUUGGUGUUGGGCGACGUCCUCUUUGGGGACGCGCCUCGAAACGCUCGGCGGCGUGGCACCGGCUUUAAGCGUAGCAGAAUCUUUCGCUUUGGAAGUCGGGGCCCCGUCUGCCGGAAGACCUGCUCGCAAGGUUGACCUCGGAUCAGGCAGGGAUACCCGCUGAACUUAAGCAUAUCAAUAAGCGGAGGA